This 291-nucleotide ribosomal RNA is filed under the name uncultured bacterium. Its description in RNAcentral is "partial 16S ribosomal RNA". It matches the Rfam family "Bacterial small subunit ribosomal RNA", at positions 337 to 625 of the family's 1533-position model. The record is from RNAcentral.
ACCUACGGGGGGCAGCAGUGAGGAAUAUUGGUCAAUGGGCGGAAGCCUGAACCAGCCAAGUCGCGUGAGGGAAUAAGGCCCUACGGGUCGUAAACCUUUUUUGCCGGGGAGCAAGGGCGGGGACGUGUCCCGGCCCGGAGAGUACCCGGAGAAAAAGCAUCGGCUAACUCCGUGCCAGCAGCCGCGGUAAUACGGAGGAUGCGAGCGUUAUCCGGAUUUAUUGGGUUUAAAGGGUGCGUAGGCGGGCUUUUAAGUCAGCGGUAAAAAUUCGGUGCUCAACCCCGUCCGGCC